GUCAGCGUUUGGCUAGGCGCGCGAGUGGCUCGUCUCCUCCCUCGAUUCAGUAUUGCCCUUCCCAAACCUAGCUCCCCUGAUUCAGCUUCCCCUGGAAUAAGGUCCGUUUCCGGCGGCCAGGUCGGCCCUCUCCUUCCACCCUCGCCUCACCCCUCGGUCCCCUCCCCUUCGGCCGCCCUCUCCCUCCCCUGCUGGCCCGCCCAUGCCCAGAAGCCCUCCAACCCUCUGGCGCUCUGCGGUGGCCUCUGCGGCGGCGCGGCUCCGCUAGGUGCCGGUCCGCCUCCGGCCUCCUGGCUCCCCGGCCCAAGUAGACGCCCAGCCCCUCCUGGCUCAUCUCCACGGCUACGCCCUGGACAUUCUGCAUCCAUCUACUGAUCUACAUCUAGUUUAGCAUCCAACAAGUGAUGUAGAUGAAAAAGAAGGGUAUUAGCUUAUUCGAGUUGUGGGACAAAUCUUCAAUGUCAAGAAAGUUAACUUCUACGUCCACGCCAGUUACAUUCGUUGAGAGAGAAUUUUACAAUCAAGUGAAGGAAGAAGAUGUCAUCAAUCUCUUUCAGAAAGACGACCGCAAAGUUAUAUUUUAAGAAGGAUAUCAUCGCUUUAUCAAUCAAAAGGCCUAUUGGGUUGUCUCUCGCAGCAACAGCAGGGCGUAACGUGACGGCUAGUUUUGGACAGGAACGCAGCGACCAAUCGUGUACGUACGUACUAGUACACGACAGUGGCACCGCCUUGUACAAAGCGCGUAGAAAAGGGGGAAAACCAGGCCGAACCGAUGAUGACUCGCGUGCUUGUGCCUCAAUCCUCUCUUCUUUUCUGAUCCUGACUAGUAGAUUUGAUUCUUGCUCCCUUUGACAUCCAUAGCCUGUUACUUUGCACUAUGUGUAAAAAACGCCCCCUAUUUUAAACGCCACAGUAAUAUCUAGUGUCGACCUCUCUUUUUUCCCUUCGAUUUCUCGUUGUAGCCUCUCUCGAAUGUUUACAUUUGGGGGUCUCUGAGCAUGGGAGCCCAGGGAAGCAGUUCCCGGAGGGUUCAAAAUACCAG
Molecule: long non-coding RNA, 1042 nt
Organism: Triticum aestivum (bread wheat)
Lineage: Eukaryota; Viridiplantae; Streptophyta; Magnoliopsida; Poales; Poaceae
Exons: 3
Source: RefSeq, a predicted model, not a curated record